RNAcentral lists this long non-coding RNA (567 nucleotides) under Numida meleagris (helmeted guineafowl). RNAcentral describes it as "lncRNA (ENSNMEG00000007427.1)". Lineage: Eukaryota; Metazoa; Chordata; Aves; Galliformes; Numididae. The record is from RNAcentral.
GUAUUUUUGCCCACCUGUCACACAAUCUCAUUACCCAUCUGUCUGUUUAACUUGUGCUAAUUUCCAAUUAAAUUUCAAAUAGAGGUAAAUGCAUUCCGUAAGUGUGUGAGAGAGGCUCAGCUUAAGGGGAAGGUGUGAAAAACUUGGCCAUCAUCAGCCCUCAUUUAAAGAGUGUCUGAGUAAGUGGAACCUGCAGUUGGCUGAUAACCAGCGUGCACUAAGAUCAGUUCUAGACAUGCUCUGCUUUGCCUUCUUCCCAGGUGACAGACCAAAACACCAUGAAGAAUGCCUUGGGACAAAGAGUGGAAGCUGAGUGUAAAUGCACAGGCAGCACUGGGGACAAAAAGCACUGACUAGAGGCAGUGAUGUGACACAUUGUGAAAAUCAUUGUCUGGCAAUCCAGACAGAAGAAUGCUGUUUUGGCAUACCGAAUGAAAUCUUUGAGCUGUGCUGUGACUAUAGAAGCCAACACUCUGCUAGAUGGAAUGGAGAAAAGGAUUAAGCACAAUAUUCAACACUGCAUUGUGAAGAAAGAGAUAAGAAUACCUGGAAAACAUAAAGUACGGA